This 484-nucleotide ribosomal RNA is filed under the name uncultured bacterium. RNAcentral describes it as "partial 16S ribosomal RNA". It matches the Rfam family "Bacterial small subunit ribosomal RNA", at positions 30 to 507 of the family's 1533-position model. The record is from RNAcentral.
AUUGAACGCUGGCGGCAGGCCUAACACAUGCAAGUCGAGCGGAUGAAGGGAGCUUGCUCGUGGAUUCAGCGGCGGACGGGUGAGUAAUGCCUAGGAAUCUGCCUGGUAGUGGGGGAUAACGUCCGGAAACGGGAGCUACUACCGCAUACGUCGUGAGGGAGCAAGUGGGGGAUCUUCGGACCUCACGCUUUCUGAUGAGACUAGGUCGGAUUCUCUAGUUGGUGGGGUAAAGGCCUACCAAGGCGACGAUCCGUAACUGGUCUGAGAGGAUGAGCAGUCACACUGUAACUGAGACACGGUCCAGACACCUACGGGAGGCAGCAGUGCGGAAUAUUGGACAAUGGGCGAGAGCCUGAUCCAGCCAUGCCGCGUGUGUGAAGAAGGUCUUCUGAUUGUAAAGCACUUUAAGUUGUAAGGUAGGGCAGUAAGUUAAUCCCUUGCUGUUUUGACGGUACCAACAGAAUAAGCACCGGCUAACUUCGUG